Molecule: ribosomal RNA, 253 nt
Filed under: uncultured bacterium
Lineage: Bacteria
Description: partial 16S ribosomal RNA
Rfam family: Bacterial small subunit ribosomal RNA
Source: RNAcentral
UACGGAGGGUGCAAGCGUUAUCCGGAUUCACUGGGUUUAAAGGGUGCGUAGGCGGGUAGGUAAGUCAGUGGUGAAAUCUUCGAGCUUAACUCGGAAACUGCCAUUGAUACUAUUUAUCUUGAAUAUUGUGGAGGUAAGCGGAAUAUGUCAUGUAGCGGUGAAAUGCUUAGAUAUGACAUAGAACACCUAUUGCGAAGGCAGCUUACUACGCAUAUAUUGACGCUGAGGCACGAAAGCGUGGGGAUCAAACAGG